RNAcentral lists this ribosomal RNA (1515 nucleotides) under Triticum aestivum (bread wheat). RNAcentral describes it as "partial small subunit ribosomal RNA". Lineage: Eukaryota; Viridiplantae; Streptophyta; Magnoliopsida; Poales; Poaceae. The record is from RNAcentral.
AUGGCGCCGUUGGUGCCGAAGAAGAAGCGCAAGGUGAACCUCCCGGAGAACGAGGAGGUCGCGGCCAGGAUCUUCGGGAAGCACCGCUCCAUGGCGGCGCAGCAGCCGGGCGGCUUCCCGGAGCACCAGGCCCGCGCGCUCUCCGCCGCCUACACCGGCGUCUGCGCCGCCAAGGAGCCCGUCCGGACACCCGGCGACCUGGCCCGUGUCACGGGAGUUGGAGGUUGGGUUGUUGACGUCAUGGAAGACUCCUUUCCAGGGUCCAGCCUUGAUUUGUCCCCUCCGAGAAGUAAUACACCAGGAGAAACGGGGAAGAAGAACACACGAAACAAACCUUAUGUGCCACGGAUGAAAUCAGCUGCUUAUGCAAUAAUGAUCGCACUCUGCAGGGAAAUGGAAAAAGGGAAGGAAUUUAUGAUGAGGCAAGAGCUUAUUGAUGCUGCUGAAGCCAGUGGUCUGUCACAAUAUGCAAUAGGCCCAAACAACAGUAGGAAUUCUCGGAAUGACGGUUACAGUUUCACUGGAUGGAAUAGCAUGAAGAUGUUAACAAAUAAGGAUCUGGUUGAGAAAGAGAGUAAUCCUGCAAAUUUGUUACAUGAACCAGAUCUUGCUCAUUAUUUUGGUCCUACAGUCAUCUCCUUUAUUUCCACCCUGAAUACAAGCAGAAGCUCACCCUGUUCAAGUUCUGCUGAAAUGUCUUUACUAGCUAUGCCAUCUCAUCAAUCUAAUGAAAGUUUUCUGAAAGCUUAUGAAGCGGUGCUGAUAUUGGAUGAUCAAGAUACUUUCGGGCCCCGUUCCAGAAGAAAAGUUGUUGAUAAUAUACGCUCGCAGUUUAAUAUUCCUGUAGAGGUUAAACACUUGCCUGUUGGAGAUGCUCUUUGGAUUGCUCGCCAUAAAGAACUUGACACGGAUUAUGUUCUUGAUUUCAUUGUUGAAAGGAAAAAUGUGGAGGAUUUACUUGGCUCAAUUAAAGACAACAGAUACAAAGAUCAAAAACUAAGACUGAAGAAAUGUGGGCUAAGGAAGCUAAUAUAUCUAGUUGAAGGGGAUGUAAACACUGUAGAUGGAUCAGAGAGCGUUAAAACAGCCUGCUUCACUACUGAGGUUCUUGAAGGAUUUGAUGUCCAAAGAACCACUGGAUAUGCUGACACUGAAAAGAAAUACGGCCACCUCACGGGCUCUAUAAUUGAUUGCUACAGCAGAAACUUCUCUGCUGGUGCUGAUACCUCUCGACUUUGCCUGACCUACGACGAGUUUGUGAAGAGGUGUUCUGACCUUGAGAAGGUCACUAUGAGUGAUAUAUUCGCCGUUCAGCUUAUGCAGGUGCCACAAGUGACAGAAGAAGCUGCUCUUGCUGUCACGAGUCUCUACCCCACUCUUCUCUCGCUUGCUAAGGCGUACACCAUGCUUGAUGGCGAUAGGUGCGCCCAGGAGGAGAUGCUGCAGAACAAGAGCGACAUGGUCAACGCGGGGGCUAGCAAGAACAUUUUCAAGCUCAUCUGGGCGGAAGGAUGA